GGGUCGAGGUAGAGGGGGCUUUGAUGGAGGGUUUGGGCCACCAGGAGGUCCUGGCAUGGGUCGUGGUGGUCGUGGUCGCGGCCCGGUGGGGAUGACGUGCACGAGGGUCAAUACACUGUGCCUGCUAACAAGUGUGGCUUGGUCAUUGGCAAGGGUGGAGAGGCCAUUCGUCAGAUAAACCAGCAGUCUGGUGCCCACGUGGAACUGUCCAGGGCACCCCCGCCAAACCCUGUGGAGAAAGUGUUCAUCAUUCGGGGCAAUCCUCAGCAGAUUGAGCAUGCUCAGCAGCUGAUUAAUGAGCGGAUAGGUGGGCCUCCGCCAGGAGCGGCCAACGGACAGGGCCCCCCUAACUACCCGACACAGUACCCACAGCCAUACCAACAGCCUCCGCCUCCCAACCAGCCAUAUGCACCACAGGGCUGGGGAAAUGCUUACCAGCAUUGGCAGAACCAAAGUGCACCGCCAAAUGACCCCUCUAAAGCAGCUGCUGACGCGAAUGCAGCAGCCUGGGCUGCAUAUUAUGCACAAUAUUAUGGACAGCAGGGUGGCCAGCCUCCACAGACCACC
Rhipicephalus sanguineus (brown dog tick) is the source of this 567-nucleotide long non-coding RNA. RefSeq lists it as uncharacterized. Lineage: Eukaryota; Metazoa; Arthropoda; Arachnida; Ixodida; Ixodidae. The transcript has 5 exons. The record is from RefSeq and is a predicted model, not a curated record.